RNAcentral lists this ribosomal RNA (501 nucleotides) under Alteromonas sp. WH150. RNAcentral describes it as "bacterial SSU rRNA". It matches the Rfam family "Bacterial small subunit ribosomal RNA", at positions 90 to 593 of the family's 1533-position model. The record is from RNAcentral. Lineage: Bacteria; Pseudomonadati; Pseudomonadota; Gammaproteobacteria; Alteromonadales; Alteromonadaceae.
GACGAGUGGCGGACGGGUGAGUAAUGCUUGGGAACUUGCCUUUGCGAGGGGGAUAACAGUUGGAAACGACUGCUAAUACCGCAUAAUGUCUUCGGACCAAACGGGGCUUAGGCUCCGGCGCAAAGAGAGGCCCAAGUGAGAUUAGCUAGUUGGUAAGGUAACGGCUUACCAAGGCGACGAUCUCUAGCUGUUCUGAGAGGAAGAUCAGCCACACUGGGACUGAGACACGGCCCAGACUCCUACGGGAGGCAGCAGUGGGGAAUAUUGCACAAUGGGGGAAACCCUGAUGCAGCCAUGCCGCGUGUGUGAAGAAGGCCUUCGGGUUGUAAAGCACUUUCAGUUGUGAGGAAAAGUUAGUAGUUAAUACCUGCUAGCCGUGACGUUAACAACAGAAGAAGCACCGGCUAACUCCGUGCCAGCAGCCGCGGUAAUACGGAGGGUGCGAGCGUUAAUCGGAAUUACUGGGCGUAAAGCGCACGCAGGCGGUUUGUUAAGCUAGAU